GCCCUUGUAGCUCAGUGGUAGAGCGUUGCACUUGUACUUAAUUUAGACAUGCAAAAGCCCAGGGUUCAAACCCCUGCUGGGGCC
Non-coding RNA from Pseudohyphozyma bogoriensis, 84 nucleotides. Lineage: Eukaryota; Fungi; Basidiomycota; Microbotryomycetes; Chrysozymaceae. The record is from the annotation of a GenBank genome assembly.